GACGAACGCUGGCGGCGUGCUUAACACAUGCAAGUCGAACGGAAAGGCCCUGCUUUUGUGGGGUGCUCGAGUGGCGAACGGGUGAGUAACACGUGAGUAACCUGCCCUUGACUUUGGGAUAACUUCAGGAAACUGGGGCUAAUACCGGAUAGGAGCUCCUGCUGCAUGGUGGGGGUUGGAAAGUUUCGGCGGUUGGGGAUGGACUCGCGGAUUAUCAGCUUGUUGGUGGGGUAGUGGCUUACCAAGGCUUUGACGGGUAGCCGGCCUGAGAGGGUGACCGGCCACAUUGGGACUGAGAUACGGCCCAGACUCCUACGGGAGGCAGCAGUGGGGAAUAUUGCACAAUGGGCGGAAGCCUGAUGCAGCAACGCCGCGUGCGGGAUGACGGCCUUCGGGUUGUAAACCGCUUUCGCCUGUGACGAAGCGUGAGUGACGGUAAUGGGUAAAGAAGCACCGGCUAACUACGUGCCAGCAGCCGCGGUGAUACGUAGGGUGCGAGCGUUGUCCGGAUUUAUUGGGCGUAAAGGGCUCGUAGGUGGUUGAUCGCGUCGGAAGUGUAAUCUUGGGGCUUAACCCUGAGCGUGCUUUCGAUACGGGUUGACUUGAGGAAGGUAGGGGAGAAUGGAAUUCCUGGUGGAGCGGUGGAAUGCGCAGAUAUCAGGAGGAACACCAGUGGCGAAGGCGGUUCUCUGGGCCUUUCCUGACGCUGAGGAGCGAAAGCGUGGGGAGCGAACAGGCUUAGAUACCCUGGUAGUCCACGCUGUAAACGGUGGGUACUAGGUGUGGGGUCCAUUCCACGGGUUCCGUGCCGUAGCUAACGCUUUAAGUACCCCGCCUGGGGAGUACGGCCGCAAGGCUAAAACUCAAAGGAAUUGACGGGGCCCCGUACAAGCGGCGGAGCAUGCGGAUUAAUUCGAUGCAACGCGUAGAACCUUACCUGGGUUUGACAUGGAUCGGGAGUGCUCAGAGAUGGGUGUGCCUCUUUUGGGGUCGGUUCACAGGUGGUGCAUGGCUGUCGUCAGCUCGUGUCGUGAGAUGUUGGGUUAAGUCCCGCAACGAGCGCAACCCUUGUUCACUGUUGCCAGCACGUUAUGGUGGGGACUCAGUGGAGACCGCCGGGGUCAACUCGGAGGAAGGUGGGGAUGACGUCAAGUCAUCAUGCCCCUUAUGUCCAGGGCUUCACGCAUGCUACAAUGGCUGGUACAGAGAGUGGCGAGCCUGUGAGGGUGAGCGAAUCUCGGAAAGCCGGUCUCAGUUCGGAUUGGGGUCUGCAACUCGACCUCAUGAAGUCGGAGUCGCUAGUAAUCGCAGAUCAGCAACGCUGCGGUGAAUACGUUCCCGGGGCU
This 1346-nucleotide ribosomal RNA is filed under the name uncultured bacterium. RNAcentral describes it as "partial 16S ribosomal RNA". It matches the Rfam family "Bacterial small subunit ribosomal RNA", at positions 28 to 1381 of the family's 1533-position model. The record is from RNAcentral.